GAUGAACGCUGGCGGCGUGCCUAAUACAUGCAAGUCGAGCGAACAGACGAGGAGCUUGCUCCUCUUACGUUAGCGGCGGACGGGUGAGUAACACGUGGAUAACCUACCUAUAAGACUGGGAUAACUUCGGGAAACCGGAGCUAAUACCGGAUAAUAUAUUGAACCGCAUGGUUCAAUAGUUAAAGACGGUUUUGCUGUCACUUAUAGAUGGAUCCGCGCCGCAUUAGCUAGUUGGUAAGGUAACGGCUUCCCAAGGCAACGAUGCGUAGCCGACCUGAGAGGGUGAUCGGCCACACUGGAACUGAGACACGGUCCAGACUCCUACGGGAGGCAGCAGUAGGGAAUCUUCCGCAAUGGGCGAAAGCCUGACGGAGCAACGCCGCGUGAGUGAUGAAGGUCUUCGGAUCGUAAAACUCUGUUAUUAGGGAAGAACAAAUGUGUAAGUAACUAUGCACGUCUUGACGGUACCUAAUCAGAAAGCCACGGCUAACUACGUG
RNAcentral lists this ribosomal RNA (497 nucleotides) under uncultured bacterium. RNAcentral's name for it is "partial 16S ribosomal RNA". It matches the Rfam family "Bacterial small subunit ribosomal RNA", at positions 28 to 507 of the family's 1533-position model. The record is from RNAcentral.